This is a non-coding RNA of Oncorhynchus mykiss (rainbow trout), 1865 nucleotides long. NCBI's taxonomy places the organism in Eukaryota, Metazoa, Chordata, Actinopteri, Salmoniformes, Salmonidae. The record is from RefSeq and is a predicted model, not a curated record.
CUGCUGACCACAUGAUCUCCAGGGUGCCGGGGGAGGCCAGGGAGAUGAACACAUCCUCGGGACAACAGGGUACUGGGGACGGACAGAGAGAGAGAGAGAGGGAGAGAGUGGUGUAGUUGAGCACGGGGCCCGGUGGGCUGGAUCCAGCCAGGCUGAAGGCGAACACAGUCAUCAGGUGAUGAACUCCUCAGGAGCAGAAGGGAUGCUGGGUCCUCCCUCGUUGAUGGCUGUCACUGUGACGGUGUGUCUCUGGCCACACCCCACGGGGGCCAGUGUGCAGGCGCCGGUGGUAGAGGUACAGUUCAGCCCCUCUGAGCUGAAGGCCAGGUACUCCCCUGCCCCCUGAGAUGGAGCCCAGGACACCGACAGACCGGCCUCAGAGCCCACCAUCCUCACCUCCAACUCAGUGAGCACAGGGAUGCAUGGACCUGGAGGGAGGAGAGAGAAACAACAUGAGCACACACACAAUUAGACGGUGAAGUCGUCUCCCUGUCUUUUCUCGGGGUCCCAGGCGUUGCCCUUGAUGCAAUAGGUUGUCCCAGCCUCCAGGCCAGAGAAGGUCACGCUGGUGUCAGUGGUGUUGAGCUUCACCCUGCUGUCUGAGCCCUCCAUGAUGAUGCUAAUGGUGUACAGGAAAACGUGGUCCACAGGCUCCCACUCCACCACAAUGGUGUCAUUGCUGGGAGAGGUGGAGUUGAGCUUGGGCGCAGCAACCACUUUAGGAGAGAGUCAGCAAUGAGACAUGUUAUGUAGAGUGUGUAUUUGUUUGUCUGUGUUGGGGGUGUUCAUGGUUUGCCUUUUAAUUGUGUGAUAUCAUUCAGAAAGCUCUAAAGUGUAUUUUCUGUUCUGUGGGAUCACUUUACAAUGUAUUUCUACAUGACUGAGAUUUGAGACGAUUAACAUUCUCUCCCUCUCCUCUGCCUUCUAAAGAAGGUCAAACCACAACACAAUAGGAUGAAACUGCUGGUGGCUUGUUUUGGUACAUGAAGAUAUCCGAUAGGCUGACUAACUCAGGUCCUAUUCCCAGGGUAACCAACGCAGUGUUCUCAGUUGUCAACCCAGUUAGGUUUAUUCUUUGUGUAUGGAGAGGGGUCAGAUAUAAUUACAGCGGAUACCUCCCUCCUCAGGGCAGCAAGAUCAUCUCACUAAUAGAGGAAAGUACCGGAUUUGCAAUACCUCAUCUGAAAUCAAGUUUUUAAGGUCAGGUAUGUAGCUACAAUCCUCUUCCUGGCUUUGGCUCAUUUACGUCAGCAAAGAGAUCGAGUGACUUAUGGUGGGGGCACUGGAGAUAAAGGUUGUUACUGUUUUCCCUAUCAAUGACUAAUUUCUUUAUACCAGGCUUUCAUACUCUUGUGUUUUUUUUUCUUUCCCCCAACAGACGGUGAAUGUGAAUGUGAGAUACAAGGGACAAUACCUGUCUUUGCUACCACAGGGAGGGAAGGCUGGCUCCUGCCUCCGCUGUUGAUGGACAUGACACUGAGAGUGUAGUCGGUGUAGGCCUGAAGGUUGAGCACGGUCCCAGGGGAAGAGGGCACCUCGGUUUCGUAGAAGAAGGACAUGUCGGCGGUCUCGGCACGCAGGAUGUAGGAAGUGGCACCGGACACCUGAGUGAACUCCACGGUCAUGCUCUCACUCUGUUUUGAUGUUGCCAUGUUGAUGGUGGGCACCUCAGAAGCUACAGAAGGAGAAAAAAACAAGAAGAGGGAAUUGUUGAAACUCACCUCUGAUGAGAGAGAAAAACAGAACUGGCCCUGGAGCGGUGAUUAAUGACAGAAUGUUACGAGAUCACAACAUAAUGUAUAGCCUAUUGUUUCACCAUCAUCUCCUUAGGGUCACAUAGUAGACACUGAUUUUACCGGUGGUCU